AGGAUGAACGCUGGCGGCGUGCCUAACACAUGCAAGUCGAACGUCCUGUCUCGCAAGAGGCAGGGAGUGGCGGACGGGUGAGUACCACGUGGGUCAUCUACCGUGAGGUGAGGAAUACCGGCGAGAAAUCGCCGACAAGACCGCAUAGGCUCGAUGCAAGUCGAGCAAAGCUCUUUCGAGAGAGGGAGCGCCACACGAGGAGCCUGCGCCCGAUUAGCUAGCUGGUGGAGUAACGGUUCACCAGGGCGACGAUCGGUAGCUGGUCUGAGAGGACGAUCAGCCACACUGGGAUUGAGAACGGCCCAGACUCCUACGGGGGGCAGCAGUGAGGAAUUUUCGUCAAUGGGGGCAACCCUGAACGAGCAACGCCGCGUGCAGGAAGAGGUUUCGGAUCGUAAACUGCUUUUCUCGGGAAGAGAACGGACGGUACCCGAGGAAUCAGCCCGGCUAACUACGUGCCAGCAGCCGCGGU
Molecule: ribosomal RNA, 472 nt
Filed under: uncultured bacterium
Lineage: Bacteria
Description: SSU rRNA
Rfam family: Bacterial small subunit ribosomal RNA
Source: RNAcentral